CCUACGGGAGGCAGCAGUGAGGAAUAUUGGACAAUGGUCGGAAGACUGAUCCAGCCAUGCCGCGUGCAGGAUGAAGGUCCUAUGGAUUGUAAACUGCUUUUGUAAGGGAAGAAUAAGGAGUACGUGUACUUUGAUGACGGUACCUUACGAAUAAGCAUCGGCUAACUCCGUGCCAGCAGCCGCGGUAAUACGGAGGAUGCGAGCGUUAUCCGGAAUCAUUGGGUUUAAAGGGUCCGUAGGCGGGCUGAUAAGUCAGAGGUGAAAGCGCUUAGCUCAACUAAGCAACUGCCUUUGAAACUGUCAGUCUUGAAUGAUUGUGAAGUAGUUGGAAUGUGUAGUGUAGCGGUGAAAUGCUUAGAUAUUACACAGAACACCGAUAGCGAAGGCAUAUUACUAACAAUUUAUUGACGCUGAUGGACGAGAGCGUGGGGAGCGAACAGGAUUAGAUACCCUGGUAGUCCACGCUGUAAACGAUGGAUACUAGCUGUUUGGUUGUUAAGACUGAGUGGCUAAGCGAAAGUGAUAAGUAUCCCACCUGGGGAGUACGCACGCAAGUGUGAAACUCAAAGGAAUUGACGG
Molecule: ribosomal RNA, 579 nt
Filed under: uncultured bacterium
Lineage: Bacteria
Description: bacterial SSU rRNA
Rfam family: Bacterial small subunit ribosomal RNA
Source: RNAcentral